Molecule: long non-coding RNA, 611 nt
Filed under: Marmota monax (woodchuck)
Lineage: Eukaryota; Metazoa; Chordata; Mammalia; Rodentia; Sciuridae
Source: RNAcentral
GCCCCCGGGCCGUGGCGCAGGAGGUUUCCGCAGAGCUCUUGCAGCACCGCCACUUCCGGGUCCACGGCGUGCCUGUGGGCAGGCGGGUGCUGCCAGCCGAGGCGCAGAGCGGGGGCUCCCUGGGCCGGCCAGCGGAGGAGGGCGCCGAGCCUCUCUCACGCGCGGGAGGGGCUCCUGCCUGUCACCUGGCCUUGCGGAGAGAGCGGCGCCUGGCCGACUGGAGCUUUGUGCCAUUGGAAACGAAGGCACGCUCGCAGCUCCCCCGCGAUGAGCCCAGUACCAGGGAGGUGGCUCCUGGGGUGAGGGAUCAGUUUUGGUUUUCAGCUUUCGAAGUCUCUGGAUACCUGAGCACGAUCCUCCAACUCCAGCUGUCACCUCUGAUAGUUUUUCCCUACACGACUGUACGUGAAGGCCUCGGCCGAAUAGUUACAAACAGGGAUUGCCUUUGCAAUAUUUCUAAAACUUCCCCUAACCCUUGACUUGAUUGGCUUUCCUGUCCCCGUUCUCCAAGGCAGAUGGAGAGAGUGGCCCCUGGCCCGACUUCAGGAGCUACCAGAGCAGCAAAGGCAUCAACUAUUUUUUCCAAAAGGUAGAACUUGCGUACAUAAUCC